UGGGGAAUAUUGCACAAUGGAGGGAACUCUGAUGCAGCGACGCCGCGUGAGUGAUGAAGGACUUCGUUUCGUAAAACUCUGUUCUAUGGGAAGAAAAGGACUGUACCAUAGGAGAAAGCUCCGGCUAAAUACGUGCCAGCAGCCGCGGUAAUACGUAUGGAGCGAGCGUUGUCCGGAAUUAUUGGGCGUAAAUGGUGCGCAGGCGGCUUUACAAGUUGGAUGUGAAAUAUUGUGGCUCAACCACAAACGUGCAUCCAAAACUGCAAAGCUUGAGUUAAGGAGAGGUAAGUGGAAUUCCUGGUCUAGCGGUUGAAUGCGUAGAUAUCAGGAGGAAUACCUGUGGCGAAGGCGACUUACUGGACUUAAACUGACGCUCAGGCACGAAAGCGUGGGGAGCAAACAGG
This 404-nucleotide ribosomal RNA is filed under the name Fusobacteriota bacterium. RNAcentral's name for it is "Fusobacteria bacterium partial 16S ribosomal RNA". It matches the Rfam family "Bacterial small subunit ribosomal RNA", at positions 355 to 776 of the family's 1533-position model. Lineage: Bacteria; Fusobacteriati; Fusobacteriota. The record is from RNAcentral.